RNAcentral lists this long non-coding RNA (1308 nucleotides) under Homo sapiens (human). Its description in RNAcentral is "HSALNT0323010". Lineage: Eukaryota; Metazoa; Chordata; Mammalia; Primates; Hominidae. The record is from RNAcentral.
CGAAGCGCACCUGGCUGUGGGGUGGCUGAAUGGGAAUGUGAUCGUGCAUUCACAGCCCCUUCACUACACUGCCUCCACCUGACUGCUCUCUGGCCCCAGCCCUCUCUGCAACGUGGCCCUUGCUGAGGUCAUAAAUGAUCACAGCCUGCGAAAUCAAGUACCGAGCUGACUUGGCCUCUCCACUGGCUACCCUCUCUUGAAUGGCUCUCCCUUGGUUUCCAGGAAACCUCCCCACUACCUCCUACCUCUGUGGCUGCUCCUUCUCCCUUUCUAACUCCUCUUCCUCUGCCUAUCUCUUCCAUGCUGUCAUUUCCAAAGCUCUUCCUCUACUCUUUUCUCACUCUAGCCUAUUGUACCUAUCCAGUGGGUUUGCCUAUCACCCACAGAUUAAUGCUUCCUUCACUGACAUUUGUGAUCACUGUAGCUGUUCAGCAUCUUCCUUUACUGCAUUGGUACAUUUCCCAUGGUCAUCCCUCCUGGAUUCGGAAAGGGCCAGAUACUAGUUUUACCUAGCCCCACUAACAGCUGGGGUGCUAGCCCAUGACCCAGACUUCUCCAGAUUUACCCGCCUGAGGCAGGGCCUCCUCAAGCUGAUGCCACAAGGAAGCAAAGAAGUUGAAGAAUCUGUCCUGGGGGACCACAGCAGUACUGUAGCAGGACUCCCAAGUUCUUCAGCUUUGGGACUCGGACUGGUUUCCUUGCUCCUCAGCUUGCAGACAACCUAUUGGACCUUGUGAUCGGAGAUGAGAGAACUCAACAAGGCGUGGCAGGCAAUGCCUUUCCGCAGGACAAGGAAAUUCAGACCAGACGGUGAGGAAAAGAACCUGCUCAGUUAAUGGUAUGGCUGCACAACACACAAACUGAACUAAAAUUACAGAAGCUUCUCGAAGUUGUACGCAUAUAGUACCAAAAAAGAGGAAACUGAAGAGAGACAAAUGCAAGGUGGUCCUGAGGCAGGUCGCAGUAAAAGGACGAGGUUAGACCCAAAUGUUGCAGAAACAGCCUUCACCUCAGAGUCAGGGGCCCAAGAUGACACUCCAGGCUCAGCCACACGCUGCCAGGUAAAACGUGUUGGGUUCCCUUCCUGGGCUGCGUUUCCUCAAACACGAAAGACCCCCAAAUUCUGAUCCUUUCACUGGCAACAAGUUAUAAAACUAUGAAGAAAAGGAAGUAAACAUUAAAUCAGGGCAGGGGUGGGGUCACAUACACUUGCCUGAUUUGGAUCAAUGCACUAUAAAAAAGACGAGAAGAAACUCAGGAUUUGGGCCAGUGGCUCAUGCCUGUAAUCCUAGCACACUGAGAGGCCAA